Mus musculus (house mouse) is the source of this 1491-nucleotide non-coding RNA. The record is from the annotation of a RefSeq genome assembly. Lineage: Eukaryota; Metazoa; Chordata; Mammalia; Rodentia; Muridae.
AGAGUCAGUCCUUCCCAAAUGUCUUCCCCCUCGUCUCCUGCGAGAGCCCCCUGUCUGAUAAGAAUCUGGUGGCCAUGGGCUGCCUGGCCCGGGACUUCCUGCCCAGCACCAUUUCCUUCACCUGGAACUACCAGAACAACACUGAAGUCAUCCAGGGUAUCAGAACCUUCCCAACACUGAGGACAGGGGGCAAGUACCUAGCCACCUCGCAGGUGUUGCUGUCUCCCAAGAGCAUCCUUGAAGGUUCAGAUGAAUACCUGGUAUGCAAAAUCCACUACGGAGGCAAAAACAAAGAUCUGCAUGUGCCCAUUCCAGCUGUCGCAGAGAUGAACCCCAAUGUAAAUGUGUUCGUCCCACCACGGGAUGGCUUCUCUGGCCCUGCACCACGCAAGUCUAAACUCAUCUGCGAGGCCACGAACUUCACUCCAAAACCGAUCACAGUAUCCUGGCUAAAGGAUGGGAAGCUCGUGGAAUCUGGCUUCACCACAGAUCCGGUGACCAUCGAGAACAAAGGAUCCACACCCCAAACCUACAAGGUCAUAAGCACACUUACCAUCUCUGAAAUCGACUGGCUGAACCUGAAUGUGUACACCUGCCGUGUGGAUCACAGGGGUCUCACCUUCUUGAAGAACGUGUCCUCCACAUGUGCUGCCAGUCCCUCCACAGACAUCCUAACCUUCACCAUCCCCCCCUCCUUUGCCGACAUCUUCCUCAGCAAGUCCGCUAACCUGACCUGUCUGGUCUCAAACCUGGCAACCUAUGAAACCCUGAAUAUCUCCUGGGCUUCUCAAAGUGGUGAACCACUGGAAACCAAAAUUAAAAUCAUGGAAAGCCAUCCCAAUGGCACCUUCAGUGCUAAGGGUGUGGCUAGUGUUUGUGUGGAAGACUGGAAUAACAGGAAGGAAUUUGUGUGUACUGUGACUCACAGGGAUCUGCCUUCACCACAGAAGAAAUUCAUCUCAAAACCCAAUGAGGUGCACAAACAUCCACCUGCUGUGUACCUGCUGCCACCAGCUCGUGAGCAACUGAACCUGAGGGAGUCAGCCACAGUCACCUGCCUGGUGAAGGGCUUCUCUCCUGCAGACAUCAGUGUGCAGUGGCUUCAGAGAGGGCAACUCUUGCCCCAAGAGAAGUAUGUGACCAGUGCCCCGAUGCCAGAGCCUGGGGCCCCAGGCUUCUACUUUACCCACAGCAUCCUGACUGUGACAGAGGAGGAAUGGAACUCCGGAGAGACCUAUACCUGUGUUGUAGGCCACGAGGCCCUGCCACACCUGGUGACCGAGAGGACCGUGGACAAGUCCACUGGUAAACCCACACUGUACAAUGUCUCCCUGAUCAUGUCUGACACAGGCGGCACCUGCUAUAGGGGGAGGUGAAUGCUGAGGAGGAAGGCUUUGAGAACCUGUGGACCACUGCCUCCACCUUCAUCGUCCUCUUCCUCCUGAGCCUCUUCUACAGCACCACCGUCACCCUGUUCAAGAGGUGAAAUGA